Molecule: ribosomal RNA, 468 nt
Filed under: uncultured bacterium
Lineage: Bacteria
Description: partial 16S ribosomal RNA
Rfam family: Bacterial small subunit ribosomal RNA
Source: RNAcentral
GACGAACGCUGGCGGCGUGCUUAACACAUGCAAGUCGAACGGAAAGGCCCUGCUUUUGUGGGGUGCUCGAGUGGCGAACGGGUGAGUAACACGUGAGUAACCUGCCCUUGACUUUGGGAUAACUUCAUGAAACUGGGGCUAAUACCGGAUAGGAGCUCCUGCUGCUUGGUGGGGGUUGGAAAGUUUCGGCGGUUGGGGAUGGACUCGCGGCUUAUCAGCUUGUUGGUGGGGUAGUGGCUUACCAAGGCUUUGACGGGUAGCCGGCCUGGGAGGGUGACCGGCUACAUUGGGACUGAGAUACGGCCCAGACUCCUACGGGAGGCAGCAGUGGGGAAUAUUGCACAAUGGGCGGAAGCCUGAUGCAGCAACGCCGCGUGCGGGAUGACGGCCUUCGGGUUGUAAACCGCUUUCGCCUGUGACGAAGCGUGAGUGACGGUAAUGGGUAAAGAAGCACCGGCUAACUACGUG